RNAcentral lists this ribosomal RNA (492 nucleotides) under Vibrio sp. UCD-FRSSP16_30. RNAcentral's name for it is "bacterial SSU rRNA". It matches the Rfam family "Bacterial small subunit ribosomal RNA", at positions 1 to 475 of the family's 1533-position model. The record is from RNAcentral. Lineage: Bacteria; Pseudomonadati; Pseudomonadota; Gammaproteobacteria; Vibrionales; Vibrionaceae.
UUAAUUGAAGAGUUUGAUCAUGGCUCAGAUUGAACGCUGGCGGCAGGCCUAACACAUGCAAGUCGAGCGGAAACGACAACAUUGACCCUUCGGGUGAUUUAUUGGGCGUCGAGCGGCGGACGGGUGAGUAAUGCCUGGGAAAUUGCCCUGAUGUGGGGGAUAACUAUUGGAAACGAUAGCUAAUACCGCAUAAYGUCUACGGACCAAAGAGGGGGACCUUCGGGCCUCUCGCUUCAGGAUAUGCCCAGGUGGGAUUAGCUAGUUGGUGAGGUAAUGGCUCACCAAGGCGACGAUCCCUAGCUGGUCUGAGAGGAUGAUCAGCCACACUGGAACUGAGACACGGUCCAGACUCCUACGGGAGGCAGCAGUGGGGAAUAUUGCACAAUGGGCGCAAGCCUGAUGCAGCCAUGCCGCGUGUAUGAAGAAGGCCUUCGGGUUGUAAAGUACUUUCAGUCGUGAGGAAGAUAGUGUAGUUAAUAGCUGCAUUGUUUG